AUACGGAGGGUGUAAGCGUUGUUCGGAAUUAUUUGGGCGUAAAGCGCGUGUAGGCGGUUUCUUAAGUCUGAUGUGAAAGCCCCGGGCUCAACCUGGGAAGUGCAUUGGAAACUGGGGGACUUGAGUACGGGAGAGGGUAGUGGAAUUCCUAGUGUAGGAGUGAAAUCCGUAGAUAUUAGGAGGAACACCGGUGGCGAAGGCGGCUACCUGGACCGAUACUGACGCUGAGACGACGAAAGCGUGGGGAGC
This 249-nucleotide ribosomal RNA is filed under the name uncultured bacterium. RNAcentral's name for it is "partial 16S ribosomal RNA". It matches the Rfam family "Bacterial small subunit ribosomal RNA", at positions 523 to 769 of the family's 1533-position model. The record is from RNAcentral.